AGUGAACGCUGGCGGUAGGCCUAACACAUGCAAGUCGAACGGCAGCACAGUAAGAGCUUGCUCUUACGGGUGGCGAGUGGCGGACGGGUGAGGAAUACAUCGGAAUCUACUUUUUCGUGGGGGAUAACGUAGGGAAACUUACGCUAAUACCGCAUACGACCUACGGGUGAAAGCAGGGGAUCUUCGGACCUUGCGCGAUUGAAUGAGCCGAUGUCGGAUUAGCUAGUUGGCGGGGUAAAGGCCCUCCAAGGCGACGAUCCGUAGCUGGUCUGAGAGGAUGAUCAGCGACACUGGAACUGAGACACGGUCCAGACUCCUACGGGAGGCAGCAGUGGGGAAUAUUGGACAAUGGGCGCAAGCCUGAUCCAGCCAUACCGCGUGGGUGAAGAAGGCCUUCGGGUUGUAAAGCCCUUUUGUUGGGAAAGAAAAGCAGCAGGUUAAUACCCCGCUGUUCUGACGGUACCCAAAGAAUAAGCACCGGCUAACUUCGU
RNAcentral lists this ribosomal RNA (491 nucleotides) under uncultured bacterium. Its description in RNAcentral is "partial 16S ribosomal RNA". It matches the Rfam family "Bacterial small subunit ribosomal RNA", at positions 29 to 506 of the family's 1533-position model. The record is from RNAcentral.